CGCUUCCUGAAUUUAUUUAAUAGGGAGUCCAACCUGCCCAGUGAAUUCUUUAACGGCCGCGGUAUUUUGACCGUGCAAAGGUAGCAUAAUCAUUUGCCUUAUAAUUGAAGGCUAGUAUGAAUGGUUUAACAAGAUUAUAACUGUCUCUUUAUAACUAAGUAGAACUUUAUAUAUAGGUUAAAAAGCCUAUAUUAAAUUGAUAGACAAGAAGACCCUAUCGAGCUUAAAAAAAUUUAAUAAAAUGAGUAAAUUAUAUAUAAAAGUUUUUUUAUUAAAAAUUUUAGUUGGGGCGACUGAGGAACAAAAAAAACUUCUUUUAAUAAAUAUUUCAUAACAUUUAUUUGAUCCAAUAUUAUAUUGAUUAAAGAAAAUAGUUACCGUAGGGAUAACAGCAUUAUCUUUUUUGAGAGUUCUUAUCGAAAAAAAGGCUUGUGACCUCGAUGUUGGACCAGAAUAUCCUGAAGAUGCAGCAU
This 473-nucleotide ribosomal RNA is filed under the name Chauvetia tenuisculpta. RNAcentral's name for it is "partial 16S ribosomal RNA". It matches the Rfam family "Bacterial large subunit ribosomal RNA", at positions 1819 to 2561 of the family's 2925-position model. Lineage: Eukaryota; Metazoa; Mollusca; Gastropoda; Neogastropoda; Buccinidae. The record is from RNAcentral.